RNAcentral lists this transfer RNA (67 nucleotides) under Marmota monax (woodchuck). RNAcentral's name for it is "tRNA.Ala". Lineage: Eukaryota; Metazoa; Chordata; Mammalia; Rodentia; Sciuridae. The record is from RNAcentral.
GGUUAUGGCUCAGAGGUAGAGUGCUCGCCUAGCAUGUGUGAGGCACUGGGUUUGAUCCUCAGCACCA